RNAcentral lists this unclassified non-coding RNA (370 nucleotides) under soil metagenome. RNAcentral describes it as "partial contains 5.8S ribosomal RNA, internal transcribed spacer 2, and large subunit ribosomal RNA". The stretch from base 1 to 120 matches the Rfam family "5.8S ribosomal RNA", at positions 35 to 154 of the family's 154-position model. The record is from RNAcentral.
GAUGAAGAACGUAGCGAAAUGCGAUACGUAGUGUGAAUUGCAGAAUCCAGUGAAUCAUCGAAUCUUUGAACGCACAUUGCGCCCGCCGGCAUCCCGGCGGGCAUGCCUGUUCGAGCGUCAUUUCAACCCUCGGGAGCCCCUGGGAAAUCUUCCUCCCAGGGGCGCCCGGCGUUGGGGAUCGGCCGCGCCCACAGAGGCCGGCCGGCCCUGAAAUACAGUGGCGGUCACGUCGCGACCUCCCCCGCGUAGUAGAAUACACCUCGCGGCGGGAAGGCGGCGCGGCCACGCCGUGAAACCCCCUACUUCUCAAGGUUGACCUCGGAUCAGGUAGGAAUACCCGCUGAACUUAAGCAUAUCAAUAAGCGGAGGA